UAGUCAGGAAGACAGUUAAUCAGGACCAU
This 29-nucleotide non-coding RNA is filed under the name Mus musculus (house mouse). Lineage: Eukaryota; Metazoa; Chordata; Mammalia; Rodentia; Muridae. The record is from RNAcentral.